CCUGGCUCAGGACGAACGCUGGCGGCGCGCCUAACACAUGCAAGUCGAACGAGAGAGAGGGAGCUUGCUUCCUCAAUCGAGUGGGGAACGGGUGAGUAACGCGUGAGGAACCUGCCUCAAAGAGGGGGACAACAGUUGGAAACGACUGCUGAUACCGCAUAAGCCCACAGGUCGGCAUCGACCAGAGGGAAAAGGAGCAAUCCGCUUUGAGAUGGCCUCGCGUCCGAUUAGCUAGUUGGUGAGGUAACGGCCCACCAAGGCAACGAUCGGUAGCCGGACUGAGAGGUUGAACGGCCACAUUGGGACUGAGACACGGCCCAGACUCCUACGGGAGGCAGCAGUGGGGAAUAUUGCACAAUGGGGGAAACCCUGAUGCAGCGACGCCGCGUGGAGGAAGAAGGUCUUCGGAUUGUAAACUCCUGUUGUUGAGGAAGAUAAUGACGGUACUCAACAAGGAAGUGACGGCUAACUACGUGCCAGCAGCCGCGGUAAAACGUAGGUCACAAGCGUUGUCCGGAAUUACUGGGUGUAAAGGGAGCGCAGGCGGGAAGACAAGUUGGAAGUGAAAUCUAUGGGCUCAACCCAUAAACUGCUUUCAAAACUGUUUUUCUUGAGUAGUGCAGAGGUAGGCGGAAUUCCCGGUGUAGCGGUGGAAUGCGUAGAUAUCGGGAGGAACACCAGUGGCGAAGGCGGCCUACUGGGCACCAACUGACGCUGAGGCUCGAAAGUGUGGGUAGCAAACAGGAUUAGAUACCCUGGUAGUCCACACCGUAAACGAUGAUUACUAGGUGUUGGAGGAUUGACCCCUUCAGUGCCGCAGUUAACACAAUAAGUAAUCCACCUGGGGAGUACGACCGCAAGGUUGAAACUCAAAGGAAUUGACGGGGGCCCGCACAAGCAGUGGAGUAUGUGGUUUAAUUCGACGCAACGCGAAGAACUUUACCAAGUCUUGACAUCCUGCGACGUACAUAAAAAUAUGUGUUCCUUUCGGGACGCAGGAGACAGGUGGUGCAUGGUUGUCGUCAGCUCGUGUCGUGAGAUGUUGGGUUAAGUCCCGCAACGAGCGCAACCCUUACUGUCAGUUACUACGCAAGAGGACUCUGGCAGGACUGCCGUUGACAAAACGGAGGAAGGUGGGGAUGACGUCAAAUCAUCAUGCCCUUUAUGACUUGGGCUACACACGUACUACAAUGGCGUUAAACAAAGAGAAGCAAGACCGCGAGGUGGAGCAAAACUCAGAAACAACGUCCCAGUUCGGACUGCAGGCUGCAACUCGCCUGCACGAAGUCGGAAUUGCUAGUAAUCGUGGAUCAGCAUGCCACGGUGAAUACGUUCCCGGGC
This 1341-nucleotide ribosomal RNA is filed under the name uncultured bacterium. Its description in RNAcentral is "bacterial SSU rRNA". It matches the Rfam family "Bacterial small subunit ribosomal RNA", at positions 18 to 1379 of the family's 1533-position model. The record is from RNAcentral.